Molecule: RNA transcript, 1464 nt
Organism: Gossypium arboreum
Lineage: Eukaryota; Viridiplantae; Streptophyta; Magnoliopsida; Malvales; Malvaceae
Exons: 3
Source: RefSeq, a predicted model, not a curated record
AAAAUUUGGGUAUUCACUAUAACAUGUGACCAUGUCAGCUAAAGCAAAAAAACCUUACAAUCACAGAGAGUGGCUAAGCCUAUAAAGACAGAUUCUUUUUCUAUUUUAUUCAUUUUUUUCAAUUUCUUUUGGCUUUACUUUCUUUUGUCAUUCAACCGCAAUCCUCAAAAUCCAGCCUUUUUCCAGCAAUUACUCAAUUUCUAAAAUCCUUCUAAUUUCCCUUUUUUUUAAAUUUCUUUUUUCAAGCUGUCAUUAUCUAUAGAGGUAAAGUUCAUUUCUUUAGGAAAAAAAAUUAAUAGAAUUUUGCAAAUUGAUAUAUUGUAUGAUUGAUAAUGAUAACAGUAUAGCAGAGGAAUUUACAGUGAAGGAACUCUGCUUUUUUUUUUUGUCUACUUGUCUCUCCUUAUUGAAAGCUUCUACUUUACUUAAAUUUGUCUUUAAAUUUUGAAGCUGUAGACAUUUUCCAUUGAUGAGUAUUUGAGUUUUCUUGCAAAAAAGAAAAAAAAAUGCAGUGCCCCAUAUCAAAAUCAAGCCUUGACAAGCAGUUUUGAGAUUCAAGACAGUUUUUCUUUUAUCAAUUUAAAGCUGCAGUUCGAGCUGGUUUUGCGGACGACAAGUUAUUGACUAGCAGAGCUGAAAUCUCCUCAAAGCAUUAAUGCAUUAGCGGGCUGAAGAGGAUGGUCUAGUCCAAGAUACGGAUGCUGGCUUUUCCUAAGCUGUGGGAAGUGUUUAGUUUCAUGACUUCUUGUUCACGGAAUUAUCGGAUUGAGGUGGUAUUUCAACAACCAAUAAAGGUAAGUCACUUUUGACAUGAACUGGGACACCAUUCAGUAUCUGCAACACUUUCUUGAUAGAUUGCAGAGUGUGAUAGGAAAUUCAGCUUGUUUUUAACACCAUGAAAGCUUUAAACUUUCAGAACUGCUUUACGGAGUUUAAUCUUCCAUUGAACUCAGUGAAGCAUAAUAACAAAUGGAUCUAAAUUUCUCAGUUGAUUUAUAUCCGUAGAACUAGGAAACGAAGGCGAUAUGUUCAACUUUAUCCAUCACCAUAUUCAAAUGUUCAAUUUUUGCAACUCAUCUUCUGCCUGCCUGUAGCAAGAACUUGGGGCUUAUUGAAGUCUUGGAUAUGAGCGGAUUAAGGUUUAGGAUUAGCGAUGCGAUGAUGUUUGAUCCUUGCGAGAGAAUCAAACAAGUUUCUUUUAUGUUUUUUUCUUGGGACUCAAGAUAUCCUACGCUGCCAACAAAGACUUCUCUAACUUCGACUUCCUACAACCUGCACUCAACUUUUGAGGUAUUGUUUGUUUUUGUUUCGUUUUCGAGUUUUGUUCAUAUAUAGCCUCUCUUCACAACCCUAAAAGUCGAUUCUUAAUACAUUUAAGAUAUUUUUGAGUUUUAUCUGGAUUUAAUGUAUCCCAGAACCCUAAAUAUCAUUGUUGAAUUAAUUCCUAAUCUCAAUCCUAGAGAA